This 689-nucleotide ribosomal RNA is filed under the name uncultured Lachnospiraceae bacterium. RNAcentral describes it as "bacterial SSU rRNA". It matches the Rfam family "Bacterial small subunit ribosomal RNA", at positions 48 to 741 of the family's 1533-position model. Lineage: Bacteria; Bacillati; Bacillota; Clostridia; Lachnospirales; Lachnospiraceae. The record is from RNAcentral.
CUAACACAUGCAGUCGAACGAGCGACUGGAGGAAGUUUUCGGAUGGAAUCCGGUUGACUGAGUGGCGGACGGGUGAGUAACGCGUGGAUAACCUGCCUCACACUGGGGGAUAACAGUUAGAAAUGGCUGCUAAUACCGCAUAAGCGCACAGUACCGCAUGGUACGGUGUGAAAAACCCAGGUGGUGUGAGAUGGAUCCGCGUCUGAUUAGCCAGUUGGCGGGGUAACGGCCCACCAAAGCGACGAUCAGUAGCCGACCUGAGAGGGUGACCGGCCACAUUGGGACUGAGACACGGCCCAAACUCCUACGGGAGGCAGCAGUGGGGAAUAUUGCACAAUGGGCGGAAGCCUGAUGCAGCGACGCCGCGUGAGUGAAGAAGUAUCUCGGUAUGUAAAGCUCUAUCAGCAGGGAAGAAAAUGACGGUACCUGACUAAGAAGCCCCGGCUAACUACGUGCCAGCAGCCGCGGUAAUACGUAGGGGGCAAGCGUUAUCCGGAUUUACUGGGUGUAAAGGGAGCGUAGACGGCGACGCAAGUCUGGAGUGAAAGCCCGGGGCCCAACCCCGGGACUGCUUUGGAAACUGUGCUGCUGGAGUGCAGGAGAGGUAAGUGGAAUUCUUAGUGUAGCGGUGAAAUGCGUAGAUAUUAGGAGGAACACCAGUGGCGAAGGCGGCUUACUGGACUGUAACU